GUCGGGGGACUCUGUGAAAGGGUUCAGGGAACUUCAGGUUCGACGUCGGAAGGGGCUUCGAUGGCGGCGGGCAUCGGAGCAGGUGCGGCCGAGCUUGUCCCCUCUGUCCUGGCUUUCUUCAUCGACCCCGAAGUGGAGGCAUCCUUCCUCUUGUGGGUCUUAAGACCCUGGGUUAACCUUCGAGCCAUGCUUGCAUCCAUGUCUGCGAUAAAAGA
Molecule: long non-coding RNA, 215 nt
Filed under: Elaeis guineensis (African oil palm)
Lineage: Eukaryota; Viridiplantae; Streptophyta; Magnoliopsida; Arecales; Arecaceae
Description: long non-coding RNA (EGUI_LNC060347)
Source: RNAcentral